CGUGUCCCUGCCGCAAAGUGCAGAAACCUGCUUGUGGACCUGGGUAAGUUGGAGCCAAAACGUGACCCACACUCUGAACUGCAUAGUUUCAACCUAUUUUAUUUCACAUGACUGUUUGUUCCGCUGAGAUGCCGGAGGAAUAAAACUUCUAAUGUUCACCACCAGAAGUAACGUGUGCUGUCCAAAAGAGGCGUUUAGUUUAAUGGGAGUCCAGUCGGAAACAUUAGAAACAGUUUCGUCGUGUAAAAAAAAGUGUAUGAAAUAUAUAAUCUCUGAAAAACCUGAUCCACGCAGUCUAGUAUAAUUUUAAAUUUAAAGAAUGAGAAAUCUUUUUUUCUCUCCUGUUCUUGUUUUAUCAAUUAAAUGAGUUUGGAGGAUAAGUAUAAACCUGUGAAACUAUCACCACCGUCAAGGCCAUCAACAUCCACCUCCCAAAGUUUCUUCACGCACUUUUUUCAUUAUUUUAGUUAACAUACGAUGUCCUCUCUUAACAUUUAAGUAUACGAGGCAGCACUGUUAGCUGUAGGCACUUGCUAUAUAGUAGAUCUCAGAACUAUUUAUCUUGCGUAACUGAAACUUUGUCUCCUUGGACCAACAUCUCCGGUUUCCUCCUCCCUCAGCCCCUGGCAACCACCAUUCUUGUCUUUGCUUGGAUGAGUCUGACUCUGAGAUUCCACAGAGAAGUCGUAUCUCCUAGUAUGUGUCCUUCUGUGACUGGGUUAUUUCGCUUACUGCAGAGUCCUCAAGGUUCAUCCUUGGUGUUGCAACGGCCAGAUUUCCUUCUUUAUUAAGGCUGAAUAAUAUUCCAUUCUAUGUAUAUACCACAUUUUCUUGAUCCAUUCAUUCAUCAGUGGGCAUUUAGCCUGUUUCAGUGUCUUGGCUAUUGUAAUAAUGCUGCAACAAACACGGGAGUGCAGACAUCUCUUUGAGAUCUUCAUUUCAGUUCCUAUUGAUAAAUACCCAGAAGUGAGAUUGUGGGAAAAUAUGGAAGUUCUAUUUUUAAUUUUUUGAGGAGCUUUCCUACUGUUUUCCAUAAUGGCUGUAAGAACUAGAAUUCUUUCUGUAAGAUCUCUUUUCUCUCCAGUAUCCACAGAUGGUUGACAUAUUAUCUCAUUGUCUCUUUUCCUCUCUCAUUUUUUUCAUUGUUUCCUUAGCUUCAAGACUUUUUUCCAGAAUGCGCUCCUCAUAAACAUGUUAUCAUUUCUUCAGUGAUGACUUUAUAUGAUGUGGUGAAACUGCCAGAGUCGCAGAGAGAAGCAGGCCAGGACCCAGGAUAAUUAGUUCCUGCCUGAUUCCUCCCAGGCAGAGAGGGGAAAGUCAGCGUCCAGAGCAAGGCCUGCCCUUUGGACUCCCCUCUUCAUUCGUUCUUUAUUUCCAUGCUUCCUCCUCACCCAGACUCCCAGGUUCUUUUAGGUUCACAGAAGGGCUCUGGGCCUCCCCUCAUUAGCUCUCAUCCCCCACCCUGAUCAUCCCAGGGCUGGACCUGGCCUUGAACUUGUCGAUUGGAUCCCCGAAGAUUUUCAAGAGAAGCACUUCUGUUUCUCAUAAUUUAAGAUCAAGUAUCUGGCCAUUGGCAGGUACAGGAAAGGGAAAAUCAUCUUUCUGUUUCUAAGAAAAGCCCCUACUGGAAUGGGGACAGAGGCCUAGGUGUCUCUUUACUACCCUCGCCUGGUGAGUAGUGGGGAUUUCUGGGAGGAGGAAAAUAAACUAAAAAUAUGAAUUCAGUUCACCCCCACCCAAAUGAUUUAAUGAUCAGGACCUUAACUCUUACAGGCCCUGAAAGUUCUCAGCUUUCCUGACCAAUGAGAAAUACGAAUGAGAUGACGCUAUCUUUGCCUGUAUUUCAAAUGUCCCCCUAAAAUGCCUUCAUUUUACAAGUGUGUGAAAAUCCCUGCCCUCUCCACCAUAAGGUAUUUAUACAAAGGGCGUGUUUAUCAUUAUUAUAAGAGGAAGGAAAUGCUUCCAAUUGUUAUCUGCCUUUCACAAUUAGAGGGAUGCUGAGGUUAAAAUUUUUCAUUUAGAUCCCAGACAAUUAAAACAAUCAUUUCUCCUUAGGUAAAGAGGUAAUUUGAUAAAUGUUACUAGUUUUUUAAAAUAGCAAUUGGGAUUAUUUGGAAAUUCCCUAAGUAGACAUCUUUAAUAAUUGUGUUAUUAAAAUAAAAAUAUUUUAGAACAAUUGAAACAUCAUUAAUGGAAUGUAAACGUUACCACAAGGAUGACAUUUUCUUUCUCCUUCUGCACUUGAUAUUUACUCAUUUCUUACUAACUUUGGAAUUUACCUUUUUUCCCCCCACUUCCAACAAUGUGCUUGGUUUAUGCAAAUAUUGAAAGUAACCUUGAAGACAAAUGUUGAAAGACGACAAUUUUCAUAUUCAUCUAAGGAAGAGUUUUCCUGAAAUGUAAAAGAAGUUAAAGAAGGUGAUUUUUCAAUAAUAGCCAAUUUGAGCAUGUAAGGAAAAAUUGUAUGACCUAAGAAAAGCUCGGAUUAAAUUGUUCAAUUUCAGAUUCAAAAAUACCAUUCCCUUCUGAGAAUACAUAUGACUGUACCCUGGAAAUUCUUUCUUUCUUCCCUUAAAACUGUAAAAUCUGCCAUGAAAACACUACGGCUGCAUGCAAGGCAAUCUGGUCACUGGAGGAACCGUGUGGAUGUCGUCCACCUGCCACCCGUCACAAUGUCUGUAAUUACCUUCUGUGGGUGGCUCAGCCUAAACAGAAAAAAGGCUGUGUCCCUACCUGUACGGAUGCUGCACAGGUUACACGUGGAGAGAAAGGAAAUGUGGUAAAUAUCAACAACUUCACGUUGCUAGGAGGAUCCAUUCUGCUAUUUCUUCAACUUUCCUGUGUUUAAUGUUUUUCAAAAUAAAAAGUUAGGAAAAGAAAUAAAUGUCAUGUGAACUUUAAGCACCUCAAAACUCCUUAAUGUAACUGGAUUUACUGGACCUAUUUGACUGGUGUAGGUGGACAAUGGCUACUCAGUUUUAUGCAUUUAAAGUUGUCUAGGUUAACUAUUGUAUUCUAAUAUUUGAGAAAUUAUUUAUACGUAUGUGUCUUUCUGAUUCCUUUGUAUUAUUUCUUAAUGUGCUGGAAAUAAAAUCUAGCUUUUUAGUUAAAAAAUAAGAGGAGGGUUCAACUACUGUAAUUUUCUUAAUUUUUCAAUAUGGAUCAAAUGAGGGCUAUGUUGUAGACACCAACUUUAUGCAACUCUGCUUUAAGAACUAGCAAAAUAUAGAACUUGCUCAUUGAUAAUUAUCAACAUAACAUUUCUUAAGUCUCCAUAAACUUCUAUGUGCAUAUGCUUAUGUUAUUGAAAUACUGAGAGUAGAAAAUACUUUGGUUUUUCUGCAAUCAGAUCACUGAUAGAGUGAAUUUUCUAUUUCCUUCCAUGAAGUUUUGAUGGGCUUCAUGCGAUGCCGUCCUUCCAAGCGUAACACUCCCUCCAAAGGCAGCAGGGCUAGGAAGCACAGUCAACACCCACUGACAACAUCAGCUGUGUAUUCAGAGUUGAAUAUCAAACAUUUAAGACUGUGAAAUAGAGGAAACCCUACAGAGCACAGGUUCAAGACCUGUUUCCCCAGUGUUCCCUGACUAAGCAAAGCCCUUGGCAUCGGCAGCAAGCUUGGAUUCCAGCAGCCCUUGAUCCUGUCUGGACCCUAUGAGCACUGUGUCACCGACUGUCUUACUUGAUGCAGUCUGGCCAGUUCACCCACUCCCUUUCUCUUUCAAGACACGACACUUAACCAGAGGCAAAAUGAUAUUCCACAGUCUGCUUUGAAGAACAGCACUUUGAAUGUGUUGAUUUUCCUGUGGACCCUGGCAUGUUUAAUAAUUGCAUGGUUCAUAUGUGGAUUUUUAGUGAGAAACAGUACAAAUUACUGUUGAAGGGCCCAGGUGUGGAAGGAGUCAAUAAGUAGAAUGGUCAAGAUUUAAAAGAAAACUUCCUGUAAAACUAUAUUGCAAAAUGUUUUCCAUGCAGAGUUAAGCACGUGUCUUGUUUAACUGAAAGCAUCAUGGGAGCUGUCCUGGGUCAAAGAGAUGCUCUGAAUUAGAAGAUGAGGCUUUAUAAGUCAAAGACUCAAAGGAAUCAUGCAACCGUCUU
Long non-coding RNA from Equus quagga, 4096 nucleotides. RefSeq lists it as uncharacterized. The transcript is spliced from 3 exons. The record is from RefSeq and is a predicted model, not a curated record. NCBI's taxonomy places the organism in Eukaryota, Metazoa, Chordata, Mammalia, Perissodactyla, Equidae.